This 444-nucleotide ribosomal RNA is filed under the name uncultured bacterium. RNAcentral describes it as "bacterial SSU rRNA". It matches the Rfam family "Bacterial small subunit ribosomal RNA", at positions 355 to 796 of the family's 1533-position model. The record is from RNAcentral.
UAAGGAAUAUUGGACAAUGGAGGCAACUCUGAUCCAGCCAUGCCGCGUGAAGGAUGAAGGCCCUAUGGGUCGUAAACUUCUUUUACAGGGGACAAAUAUCUUGCUCGUGAGCAGGAUUGAUGGUACUCUGAGAAUAAGGGUCGGCUAACUUCGUGCCAGCAGCCGCGGUAAUACGAAGGACCCGAGCGUUAUCCGGAUUUAUUGGGUUUAAAGGGUGCGUAGGCGGACUUAUAAGUCAGUGGUGAAAUCUCCCAGCUUAACUGGGAAACUGCCAUUGAAACUAUUUGUCUUGAGUACAUUUGAGGCGGGCGGAAUGUGUCAUGUAGAGGUGAAAUUCUUAGAUAUGACACAGAACACCAAUUGCGAAGGCAGCUCGCUAAACUGUAACUGACGCUGAGGCACGAAAGCGUGGGGAUCAAACAGGAUUAGAUACCCGUGUAGUCC